CCCAAAAGAUCGAACGGGGAGAUUCAUCGUCAGCGGCGCUGGCUUCGCGUCGGUGGGCGAUGUCCCGCGGAGUCCUCGCGGCUCGCGCGCGGGCACGCUACCGUGCGCCGAUGUCCGGCUGUCGUCGUCGUGCACUUCUCCCCAAGUAGAACGUCGCGACCCGCUGGGUGUCGGUCUACGGCCCGGGUGCGGUGACUGUCGCGUCGCCGGUAAAACGGCACGCGACAAACCCUCGGUAGCCCGGCCGGCUGCUCGGCGGUACGCGCAAGGUAUCAGGUCGCACCUACGGUGCGUCGAGGACGUCGCAAGCGCGCGCCACGGUACUCGGAGGUCACGGACUUUGCGCCGUCCCCGGUCCUGGCCCGCUGCUGGUUAAAGUACGUAUAACCUUCGACAGGCCUGCGAACGUUCCUCUUCUAUCACGGGAGGGACGGAUACCGGUCGGCGACGCUACUGCU
This 458-nucleotide ribosomal RNA is filed under the name Polyrhachis sp. JL24. Its description in RNAcentral is "LSU rRNA". Lineage: Eukaryota; Metazoa; Arthropoda; Insecta; Hymenoptera; Formicidae. The record is from RNAcentral.